This is a long non-coding RNA of Strongylocentrotus purpuratus (purple sea urchin), 534 nucleotides long. RefSeq lists it as uncharacterized. The record is from RefSeq and is a predicted model, not a curated record. Lineage: Eukaryota; Metazoa; Echinodermata; Echinoidea; Camarodonta; Strongylocentrotidae. The transcript has 3 exons.
CUUCUCUGGUAACUCAAGGCGAAUCUGCGGUUGUCCGCGAAACCAACGUCCAGGAGCCUGCUCCAGAUCUGAACAUGGAGGAGAAAACAGUUGUUUCCUGCCUCAUAGACGGUGAAUGGGUAAGAUGCGCUUGAGUGAUAAUUCGUGGUCGAGCAACAAACUACAACACCGAUAAUCAUCAAAAUCGACAACAUGCAAAACCGACAACCCUGGAGGCUGAUAAUUAUACUAAUAAUAGUAAUUACCUAUGUUUAAUACAUAAAAUUAAAGCAAAACAUUUUCCAUAUUCUUAGCUUAUACAAAGUGAAGAUAAGUAUGUACAGGUAGCUUUUUAUCCGUUAAUAAACGGACAUAAUUUAAUACUUUACUAUUAUUCAUAUUCCAUGCCGAAAUUACAAAGCACAAUAGAUUUCACACACCAAAAAAAAAAUCGAUAUUUCUUUAUAUUAUGCAUGUAUUGAAGUAAAUAAUCCUGAAUCAGAGUAAUUUAACCCAUUGCUUACUGGAACCUGGUGGUCUCUGUGUUAAGUCUAU